Molecule: small RNA, 160 nt
Filed under: Chelonoidis abingdonii (Abingdon island giant tortoise)
Lineage: Eukaryota; Metazoa; Chordata; Testudines; Testudinidae
Description: TUC338 (ENSCABG00000014417.1)
Source: RNAcentral
CUGAAAUGCCAUGUCUUCCAUUUAUCCACAGAACAGGUAUGGCACAGGCAGUGCUUGUGCAACUUACCCCCCUGCUCCUCCACACUACCCCAAGAAUGUGCCUGAGCCCUCUGUAAAGGCUACAUGUGAACCACCAUAGCCAAUCGAUUCCCCAGCCAGG